UAUUGGACAAUGGGCGCAAGCCUGAUCCAGCCAUGCCGCGUGAGUGAUGAAGGCCUUAGGGUNGUAAAGCUCUUUUAUCCGGGACNNCCNNNANGGUACCGGAGGAAUAAGCCCCGGCUAACUUCGUGCCNNNAGCCGCGGUAAUACGAAGGGGGCUAGCGUUGCUCGGAAUCACUGGGCGUAAAGGGCGCGUAGGCGGCGUUUUAAGUCGGGGGUGAAAGCCUGUGGCUCAACCACAGAAUGGCCUUCGAUACUGGGACGCUUGAGUAUGGUAGAGGUUGGUGGAACUGCGAGUGUAGAGGUGAAAUUCGUAGAUAUUCGCAAGAACACCGGUGGCGAAGGCGGCCAACUGGACCAUUACUGACGCUGAAGCGCGAAAGCGUGGGGAGCAAACAG
This 396-nucleotide ribosomal RNA is filed under the name uncultured bacterium. RNAcentral's name for it is "partial 16S ribosomal RNA". It matches the Rfam family "Bacterial small subunit ribosomal RNA", at positions 362 to 775 of the family's 1533-position model. The record is from RNAcentral.